This 460-nucleotide ribosomal RNA is filed under the name uncultured bacterium. RNAcentral describes it as "partial 16S ribosomal RNA". It matches the Rfam family "Bacterial small subunit ribosomal RNA", at positions 338 to 795 of the family's 1533-position model. The record is from RNAcentral.
CCUACGGGUGGCAGCAGUGAGGAAUAUUGGUCAAUGGACGAGAGUCUGAACCAGCCAAGUAGCGUGAAGGAUGACUGCCCUAUGGGUUGUAAACUUCUUUUAUAUGAGAAUAAAACGUUCCACGUGUGGGCUUUUGUAUGUACCCUAUGAAUAAGGAUCGGCUAACUCCGUGCCAGCAGCCGCGGUAAUACGGAGGAUCCGAGCGUUAUCCGGAUUUAUUGGGUUUAAAGGGAGCGUAGGUGGAUUGUUAAGUCAGUUGUGAAAGUUUGCGGCUCAACCGUAAAAUUGCAGUUGAAACUGGCAGUCUUGAGUAGAGUAGAGGUGGGCGGAAUUCGUGGUGUAGCGGUGAAAUGCUUAGAUAUCACGAAGAACUCCGAUUGCGAAGGCAGCUUACUGGACUGCAACUGACACUGAUGCUCGAAAGUGUGGGUAUCAAACAGGAUUAGAUACCCUGGUAGUC